AUAUCAAUAAGCGGAGGAAAAGAAACCAACAGGGAUUGCCUCAGUAACGGCGAGUGAAGCGGCAAAAGCUCAAAUUUGAAAUCUGGCCUUCCGGUCCGAGUUGUAAUUUGCAGAGGAUGCUCCGAGUUCAGAUCCGGCCUAAGUUCCUUGGAAUAGGACGUCAUAGGGGGUGAGAAUCCCGUAUGUGGCCGAAAUCUUUUCUCAUGUGGAGCUCCUUCAACGAGUCGAGUUGUUUGGGAAUGCAGCUCAAAAUGGGUGGUAAAUUUCAUCUAAAGCUAAAUACUGGCCAGAGACCGAUAGCGCACAAGUAGAGUGAUCGAAAGAUGAAAAGCACUUUGGAAAGAGAGUUAAACAGUACGUGAAAUUGUUGAAAGGGAAGCGCUUGUAAUCAGACUUGCGCGUGGUCAAUCAUCUGGCGUUCUCGCCGGUGCACUUGAUCACGCUCAGGCCAGCAUCGGUUUUGGUGGUCAGACAAAGUCUCUGGGAAUGUAGCUCCUCUCGGGGAGUGUUAUAGAUCAGAGAGCAAUGUGGCCUACCAGGACCGAGGACCGCGCUUCGGCUAGGAUGCUGGCAUAAUGGUUAUAAGCGA
Molecule: ribosomal RNA, 589 nt
Filed under: uncultured fungus
Lineage: Eukaryota; Fungi
Description: eukaryotic LSU rRNA
Rfam family: Eukaryotic large subunit ribosomal RNA
Source: RNAcentral